GGUGCAGGGUGGAGAUCUAGUUAGGAACCUGCUGCCCAAGACCAUCUCGGCUCCCUACUCUCGGGCAGCUGACUUAACAGUGAUGUAUGGAGCUCCUUCAAGGCACUGGGCUCUGAGCUAGGAAUUGUGAUGGCAAUAAGAAGGACAAGGCAGGACUGUUGUCUUCAAGAUGCUCCUCUCGCCCAUGACCUCUGUGUCUAGAGCAGAGAGGCACAUCUCCACCCUCUUCUGAGUCUCCCUGUCACAAGGGCCAAGGCCUUAGAUGGCUCCUUCCAACACCUCCCGCCCCUGGAGGCAGGUCCUGACCAAAGGGAGGACAUCCAUGGGUUAGAGAUGCUGUGCUUGGAUUCUGUCAGCUGGCCGUCCCAGGAAGGUGCCCUGAGGGUGAAGAUUAAUGGCUCUUCAGCUCUCCCCUUAGAACACAUGCAGUCGUCACGUCCUGAAGAGAAAUGCAGCGGCUCAUAAAUUAUGGGCUGUCGUCAGAGAAGAUGCUACAAAGAGCCUGCCAUAUUGCUUUGUCGUUUGAGUAAAAGAAAGUUAGGAAAAUGUCCGUAGUUGCCGCGCCGCUUCGAGGGACUUACACGAUCUUCAUGAGUUGUUUUCUGUCCAAGGGGUGAGUGGCAUCUGUAGAGCAUGUCGCCUUGUACGAGGGGCUUGAUAUGCACUGUCUAUUGUCCGCUCCUAAUUGCUGCAUGUAUUGUUGUAGGGAUAAUUAUUUACCCCCCUUUCCAGAGAGUCAUAGUAACUAACACGUAUUGUUUUCCAUAUGCCAGGCGUUAUUGUAAGCAAUCUACAUGCUUCAAUUUAUUCUAAUUUUCACAGCAACCCUGUGAGGUAUAGACACUGUAAUUGUUCCAUUUUACAGAUAACGGCGUCAAGGCGCGGAGAAGUCACGUGUCUUCGCCAACAUUAUAUACUAAGUGAUAGAGCUGGGCGUCCCAUGCCGGUGGUUCGGCUCCAAAGUUGUCGCUUGCAAGGUGCUAAAUUAUACGACUAGGGUAACGACCAGCCAGUGAAAGCUCAGGUCCUAUCUGGAAUCCCAAGGCUUUUCUUUACGCGUGCUACCUCUUGUUUCCCUGAUGCCCGGGGCGUUUCUAACUAGUGUUAAAAAUCGUUAUGAGAACUGUACGUACGUAUGGUACAUAAACGCACACUUAUCUCCAUGUAUUUAGACAGCGUUCCUCAAAUAUGCUUGUACCGAGACCCCAGCAGAUGCUUCCCAUUCAGAUUAGAAUGAGAAAAAUAGUGAUAAAGGACCUCAAACUGGAGACCUUACCAUCUUGACUGUCACCGUUUAUGCUGAAAUGUGCACUGUUUUCAGCAAGAAGUAUGAUCCCAGUUUUCAAAGGUCAAAUAAAUCACCUUUAAAGUCGUGAAAAGGUAAACAGACUGAUGCCUGGACAGCUUUCCUGAGUUUAUGAGGUCUUCUGGCAACAGGGAUAUACAAAAAGCCCCAUCAAUCACCCCCUCCCCAUCCCCACCUCCCGGAGCAUUUAUUCCUGGGGGGAAUCACUCUACCAUGAACGGUAAUUUCCCCUGAAACUAUUAUUAGGAAUAUUAAAUCAAAGGAAAAUAGAACCCCCCAGAGUAAACACACUGCUUCAGAAAAGCAUUUCUCCUCUAGCCAAAUUCUAAAACGUGGCUGUGAUUCAGGGAGGCAGGGGUAGGAGAAUGGGGGUGGGGAGGAGGAGGUGCGUGAAGGGAGAAUGGCAGAGGACGGUCGGGAGACCUCUGGGGCAAGCGGGCGAGAUGCGAUGUAAACAAAAUUGUUGUCACAGAAGAAAACUAAUUGUGCAGCGCCCACAGUGCAUUUGACUGCCAAUCCGUUUCCACUUGGCUGGUGUCAUCUUCUAAGUCCUUUAAAAGGGCCCUACACACCUGCUUCCAGCACAUUCUCAGGUUAUACG
Molecule: long non-coding RNA, 1907 nt
Organism: Panthera uncia (snow leopard)
Lineage: Eukaryota; Metazoa; Chordata; Mammalia; Carnivora; Felidae
Exons: 3
Source: RefSeq, a predicted model, not a curated record